This 76-nucleotide transfer RNA is filed under the name Chloroflexota bacterium. Its description in RNAcentral is "Chloroflexi bacterium (groundwater metagenome) tRNA-Thr". It matches the Rfam family "tRNA". Rfam says of the family: Transfer RNA (tRNA) molecules are approximately 80 nucleotides in length. Their secondary structure includes four short double-helical elements and three loops (D, anti-codon, and T loops). Lineage: Bacteria; Bacillati; Chloroflexota. RNAcentral also lists the same sequence under 1 other name. The record is from RNAcentral.
GCCCUCAUAGCUCAGCCGGUAGAGCACGGUCUUGGUAAGACCGGGGUCACCAGUUCGAAUCUGGUUGAGGGCUCCA